UUAGGAUAAAACGUGAGUAGUCAACUCUAUUUACGUGAUUAGUCAACUGAAAAUGACAAUAAAAGAGGGAGAACUAAACUAGCUAAUUACAGGAACCUAAGCACAUGGUUUCAGACCAUAGCAAGCACCUUCUGAAAUGAACUCUGAAAGCUUGCAACUUGGAAGUAAUUUACAAUUUCGGAAGAUAGGAACAUUUAAGUAAAAAACUUAGUUUAUUCGUUAUUUAAUUUCUGAGAAAAGAUGCCGACUAUUGUGAUCCCAUCCGAAAUUUCCUUGAUAAAACUGGCUGCCAAAAGAUAAUGCAGAAAUCGAAAUGCAAGACAAAACAAAAAUACACCACCUUUGUUCUGCUUCUUCAACUUCACCGCCUCAAAAUAUACAAACAAAAUGUGCAUAGCUGCAUUCCUGUGGCGAGCUCACCCGCUCUACCCUCUGCUUCUGCUUCACAACAGAGAUGAAUAUCACAAAAGGCAACGAUUCGAUCCUGCUUAGUCAAUUAGUUUUACCUUCUCUUUUUCUCCUGGUGAUCUGGUUUUUGUUUACUUUUGUGUUGGGGUUUAAGUUCAGGCCUACAUCAGCAGUUGAGUGGUGGACCGACAUCGAUAUAGUCGGAGGAAGAGAUGAGGUUGCCGGAGGGACAUGGAUGGCUUGUUCCAGAGGAGGCAGAGUGGUUUUCCUCACUAACGUUAUGGAGCUCCACGAGCGCCCUGAUGCCAAGUCCCGUGGGGAGCUCCCUCUUCUUUUCCUCCAGGUGAAUACAUCAUCUUUACUCGUUAGGCUGUGAGAGUUUCUCUACAAAGAGAGAUCAUGUAUGUUU
This 817-nucleotide long non-coding RNA is filed under the name Linum usitatissimum (flax). Its description in RNAcentral is "long non-coding RNA (LUSI_LNC003563)". The record is from RNAcentral. Lineage: Eukaryota; Viridiplantae; Streptophyta; Magnoliopsida; Malpighiales; Linaceae.